AGAUGAUUCAUUACUUAUCAGACUGCAAGCUGCAGUGUUUGCUUAGUGAAUUGUAGUGACAAUUCACACAGACCCUCUUCAAUAUGCUGAAUAUCACAAUACACUCAACAAACAGAUCAUGACUUUUCUUGUAUGAGCUGUAUGAUGAGUUGACUUUGAUGCCACAGCUGUGAGUAAGUGCUGAUUCUAUGUUUGUUGCUUUUUUUAGCUGAAGUUUGAAGUUCUUCUUACAUAGCACUAUAUCUCUCUUGAAUCUCAUCUCUCACAGCUGUACAACAACUCUGCUGCCAUCUCUGAUGAUUUGUUCAAUUAGCAGCUGUAGUCUAUAUUCUGAUGUCCAUGCAUUGACAGACUGCUGAUGUGGCUGCUGAGAGAUGAGUGCAGACAGACUGAUGAGCUGCUGAAGCUGCUGAAGACUAGAUACAGAUGAAUUGACA
Molecule: small RNA, 437 nt
Filed under: Histoplasma ohiense
Lineage: Eukaryota; Fungi; Ascomycota; Eurotiomycetes; Onygenales; Ajellomycetaceae
Description: hypothetical lncRNA
Source: RNAcentral